GAGACAGAACAGCCUUAUAACAUUGUGGUACUUGGAUGCAAAGGUUCAGGAGUCUGUAUGGUGUGGGAGGUAAAGGUUCAGGGCCCAUACUUAUAUAGAAAUGAGGCGUUUGACUUAAGUCUCUCCUAAGUGACGAGUUUUCAACCUGGCUAGGGUUCCAGCCACUAUGGGUAGUGGGGAACGUUAAGUUGCCCACAACAGCGAGUUAGCUCGAAAGAUCAGUUAUCUCAUAUGAAAAUGAAUGGGUAAGAAUACCUUAAAAUGGUGAAAUAAUUGAAUAGAAGUACAUCAUAUCCAUUACAAUAGGGUUUCAUAAGGCUAUAGUGACAGCCGGAGCGUGGGCUCGUAGCGCGGGUGUCCACAAUAGUGGACAUGGCAUUUUUUUAAUGAACGCGCUGCCAGAUUUGAUAAGUUUGUCAUCAAGUACAGUAAACAUGCCGUUUUUGAGCUUUAUAUGGGUAUGGUACACAGAAGCUGUAAAAAAGUGAUGCUUUUUAUUGCUGAAUAAUAGAAAAUAAGAACAAUAGAGGUGGGUAUCUGUCUAUAAUAAUAUGUUUUCAUAGUUCCUAUUUCAUAACUCUGUACUCGUUCUACCAAUGCUUAUAUGGUGUUCAAAUUAACGUCAAAGAACAGCUAAGGAAAAGGACUUUACAGUGAUACCUCAUUCAGCAAUGUUAGCUCAGUAAGAGAGAAGAUACUUGAGGUUGAAGUGAGGUGUAUUUUUGAGUGAAUAUGCCCACGUGGCAGGCCAGGCACGGCAAAAUCUAGCCUGCGCUUUAAGUGUUAAGAUGAGCCAGAGACGAAGAGUUAGCUUUAUAAGUAUAAGCCCAGGAGUAUACUGUGGGAGGUAAAGGUUCAGGAGUCUGUAUACUGUGGGAGGUAAAGGUUCAGGAGUCUGUAUACUGUUGGAGGUAAUGGUUCAGGAGUCUGUAUACUGUGGGAGGUAAAGGUUUAGGAGUCUGUAUACUGUGGGAGGUAAAGGUUUAGGAGUCUGUAUACUGUGGGAGGUGAGGGUUUAGGAGUCUGUAUACUGUGGGAGGUAAAGGUUUAGGAGUCUGCAUACUGUGGGAGGUAAAGGUUCAGGAGUCUGUAUACUGUGGGAGGUAAAGGUUCAGGAGUCUGUAUACUGUGGGAGGUAAAGGUUCAGGAGUCUGUAUACUGUGGGAGGUAAAGGUUCAGGAGUCUGUAUACUGUGGGAGGUAAAGGUUUAGGAGUCUGUAUACUGUGGGAGGUAAAGGUUUAGGAGUCUGUAUACUGUGGGAGGUAAAGGUUCAGGAGUCUGUAUACUGUGGGAGGUAAAGGUUUAGGAGUCUGUAUACUGUGGGAGGUAAAGGUUCAGGAGUCUGUAUACUGUGGGAGGUAAUGGUUCAGGAGUCUGUAUACUGUGGGAGGUAAAGGUUUAGGAGUCUGUAUACUGUGGGAGGUAAAGGUUCAGGAGUCUGUAUACUGUGGGAGGUAAAGGUUUAGGAGUCUGUAUACUGUGGGAGGUAAAGGUUCAGGAGUCUGUAUACUGUGGGAGGUAAAGGUUCAGGAGUCUGUAUACUGUGGGAGGUAAAGGUUCAGGAGUCUGUAUACUGUGGGAGGUAAAGGUUUAGGAGUCUGUAUACUGUGGGAGGUAAAGGUUCAGGAGUCUGUAUACUGUGGGAGGUAAAGGUUCAGGAGUCUGUAUACUGUGGGAGGUAAAGGUUCAGGAGUCUGUAUACUGUGGGAGGUAAAGGUUUAGGAGUCUGUAUACUGUGGGAGGUAAAGGUUUAGGAGUCUGUAUACUGUGGGAGGUGAGGGUUUAGGAUUCUGUCUACACUCACCCACUUAACAACCAGACCCUCCAUGGCUGCAUCCAAAACAAUAAGCUCCUCUUUGUUUUUCA
Long non-coding RNA from Eriocheir sinensis (Chinese mitten crab), 1867 nucleotides. RefSeq lists it as uncharacterized. Lineage: Eukaryota; Metazoa; Arthropoda; Malacostraca; Decapoda; Varunidae. The record is from RefSeq and is a predicted model, not a curated record. The transcript has 4 exons.